RNAcentral lists this long non-coding RNA (2445 nucleotides) under Stegodyphus dumicola. Its description in RNAcentral is "uncharacterized LOC118198729, transcript variant X4". The record is from RNAcentral. Lineage: Eukaryota; Metazoa; Arthropoda; Arachnida; Araneae; Eresidae.
UUGUGUAUUUAGAUAACCGUAUUGCUUUUUAUUAUUUCUGUAGAUCAAUUUUGAAAUCAGAGUAUUGAGCAGUUUCUUUUUUAGACAGGAACUGUUUUUCAAUAAAAAUUGGCUAUUCAUGGAUGAAUUUCUGAAAUUGAUCUUUAAUAUGGGAAUACAUAUAUAUUUUUAGUGUUUAGGGAUGUGAAUAGAAAUGUUUCAGGAUGUCAUUCAAUCCGGAGGUCAAGUCGCUGUUUCAAAUGCCAUUUAUGUCCAUAUGUGUCUUAUGUCAGUUCUUGGUACUUGAGACGACAUAUGUUAUGCCAUACCCAGGAUAGACCUUUUGUGUGUGAUAUUUGUCAUAAAUCAUUCAAUCAAAAAGGAAACUUAAAAGUGCACAGAUUAACUCAUAUCCUUGGGAAAAGAUUCCAUAGAUCAUAAUUUUGGGUGCAAUACUAAAAUGGAAAGGGGGAAAAAAAAGUGAAAAUCGAAGUAGUAUUUUUCAACAUCUGCCAAGUUUUAAAGUUUUUGCCCUACAGUGGAAAAAGAGAUAACCAGAUGCACAAGGAACUUGUAUAUUUAUGUAUUUAUAUAUUGGCAUCUGCGGUAAAUGUCUCAACAAGUAAAAAUACUACUAAAUCAUGAUAAGCAACAUUGCUAAUUAACUCUAAUGUAGCUUGUAUAAAAAUAUUAUGCUGGUUAAUUACUUAUGAAGGUUAUUAUCAUGUGGAAAGAGAUUGUUUAUCAAGGAAAUAUCAUUGUGCUUUAUGUUCUUACACAACAAAUAAAAUUUCAAAUUACAAAAGUCAUGAACUAGCUCAUACUCAAGAACGCUCAUUUGUUUGCAAUAUUUGUUUGAAGCGAUUUAAUCAUAGGUCUAAUUUGAAAGCUCACUCUAGAAUACAUACUGGGGAAAAGCCAUAUUGUUGUGAUUUGUGCCAUCGGACAUUUACAUUUUGUUCAAGUUUUCGGAAGCAUAUGUUUAGGUGCCCUGGUUUGGUUGACUAAGUGGUGUUUAUUUUCCAGGGAUCUAUUCUUAUUAAUGGCUUAAGUUUUUGUCCAUGGAUGUACUAGUUAAACAUUUUAUUAAUACAGAAUCUAGUACUCAACCGUUUCUUAUAGUUAGAAAGAUAUAUUGUGAUUUGUUCUAUCGAAUAUUUAAACUCUAUCUGUUGUUAAAAGAACAAAAUGUUGCUUUUUGUGCUGUUUGCUCUAAAUAAUUAUAAAAUAAUAAAAACAUUACUAUAAAAAUUGUAGUAAUAUUGGGUUUUAACGAAAGUUUUCCGGCACCACAAAACAGUUCGCGUUGGCAUGUUUAAUCAUAUUUUGUCAAACGAUUUUUGGUAUUUGAAAGAAAGAGAUUUGUGUUAGAACAUUUUGUAAAAUUUGUUAAAAAAAAAGAUGAAGAAGUAUCGUUAUCACUGAGUACAAAGUGACUGAAAUGGAGCUAUCAUGCUACCAGAUUAGAACCAUCAUUUACUUCCAGUUCUGUAAGAAAAAAAGAUGGGGUAGAAUCUGUUCUGGUCUGUUUUUGGCAGAAUGCCACCAAAUCAUGUGUACAAUUUUAGGUACUAAUGUUGUAUCAUAUGACACUGAAAAUCUGAUGUCAAAAGUUCAAAAGCAAGGACUAUGAAGAAACAGAGCACUCUGGCCAGCCUACUGAUGUUGAUAAGGCCCACUUGCAAGAACUUGUGGAAGAUGAGUAUGUAACCACUCAAUAGCUUGCUAAGAAGAUAGACAUUAAUGCAAUGUCCAUUAGUUGUGCUAUGCAUCACAAAAAAAGUUCAAUUGCUGGGUGCCACAUAAGCCUACUGAAGCAGAUAAAGACAGUUGUGUUCGGGCCUGCACUGAUCUGCUCGAGUAUCAGUGCAGAGACAAAAUUAUGUAUCAGAUUGUCAGUUGUGAUGAAAAGUGGGUUUAUGUCAACAACACAGGCCGAAAAGGAGUUUCGUCUGUCCCAGUGAGCCCACCACAAAAUGCAGUUUGACUAACAAAAAGAUGAUGCUUUGUAUCUGGUGUGAUUUCUGUGGUAUUAUCCACAAAGAAUAUAUGGUGAAAGAUGAAACCCUCAAUAGUAAGGUGUACAGAGAAAUGCUAGUCCGUGUUGAUGCUGCUAUCAAGGAAAAACUUUGAAUUGAGUUCUGGUACAAAAAGGUAAUGUUCCAUCAAGAUUAUGCAAGACCACAUGCAUCUGCAUUCAUCGUCUGCACUCUAUACACACUCAAAUGGGAUCUUUUGCCAAACCCACCUUAUAGCCCUGACAUCGUUGCUUCAGACUCCUAUCUUUUUUCACACCUGCAACUACAUCUUGUUGGUGCUAUCUUCCAUUCCGCACAGGACAUCCGGAAUAAGGUUGAUAUGUUUUUGGACUCGGAGCCAGCCACCAAAUAUCUGGACUGAAGGCUUUGAAAGUUAUCAAAACAAUGGCAAAGAAUCAUAGACUUGGGUGGUGAUUACUGCCUGCAC